RNAcentral lists this ribosomal RNA (253 nucleotides) under uncultured bacterium. Its description in RNAcentral is "partial 16S ribosomal RNA". It matches the Rfam family "Bacterial small subunit ribosomal RNA", at positions 524 to 776 of the family's 1533-position model. The record is from RNAcentral.
CACGUAGGGCGCAAGCGUUGUCCGGAAUUAUUGGGCGUAAAGAGCGUGUAGGCGGCCCGGUAAGUCCGCUGUGAAAGUCGGGGGCUCAACCCUCGAAUGCCGGUGGAUACUGUCGGGCUAGAGUGCGGAAGAGGCGAGUGGAAUUCCUGGUGUAGCGGUGAAAUGCGCAGAUAUCAGGAGGAACACCGAUUGCGAAGGCAGCUCGCUGGGACGUAACUGACGCUGAGACGCGAAAGCGUGGGGAGCAAACAGG